GAUGAACGCUAGCGGCAGGCUUAACACAUGCAAGUCGAGGGGUAUAGUUCUUCGGAACUAGAGACCGGCGCACGGGUGCGUAACGCGUAUGUAAUCUACCUUUUACAGGGGGAUAGCCCAGAGAAAUUUGGAUUAAUACCCCAUAGUAUGUUGUGGUGGCACCACUAUAACAUUAAAGUUCCAACGGUAAAAGAUGAGCAUGCGUCCAAUUAGCUAGAUGGUAAGGUAACGGCUUACCAUGGCUACGAUGGGUAGGGGUCCUGAGAGGGAGAUCCCCCACUCUGGUACUGAGACACGGACCAGACUCCUACGGGAGGCAGCAGUGAGGAAUAUUGGACAAUGGGCGCAAGCUUGAUCCAGCCAUGCCGCGUGCAGGAUGACGGUCCUAUGGAUUGUAAACUGCUUUUGUACAGGAAGAAACACUCCCUCGUGAGGGAGCUUGACGGUACUGUAAGAAUAAGGAUCGGCUAACUCCGUGCCAGCAGCCGCGGUAA
Molecule: ribosomal RNA, 494 nt
Filed under: uncultured bacterium
Lineage: Bacteria
Description: partial 16S ribosomal RNA
Rfam family: Bacterial small subunit ribosomal RNA
Source: RNAcentral